RNAcentral lists this unclassified non-coding RNA (339 nucleotides) under uncultured fungus. Its description in RNAcentral is "sequence contains ITS1". The stretch from base 1 to 103 matches the Rfam family "5.8S ribosomal RNA", at positions 50 to 154 of the family's 154-position model. Lineage: Eukaryota; Fungi. The record is from RNAcentral.
GAAGUGCGAUAAGCAAUGCGAAUUGCAGAACCGUGAGUCAUCAGAUUUUUGAACGCAACUGGCGCCGGAUGGCUCUCCAUCCGGCAUGCUUGUUUCAGUGUCUCUUUUUCUCAUCACCCAUAUCAUAAUGCGAGAGAUACCCUUCUCUUGCUAAGCUCGAAAGCACUCUGCGCUCUGCGAGCGGCUUCGACUUGUUCGAGGGUCGCACUCAAUGCAGCAGUCACAUUGUUACAAUGUGAACUCAUUGAGAGCUGAGGCAGUGUAGCGUAAGCUACCAGUGCUUAGUCACGCAAACUUUACUUGCAUCUGAAAUCAAGCAGGAUCACCCGCUGAACUUAA